This 336-nucleotide unclassified non-coding RNA is filed under the name Hevea brasiliensis (rubber tree). The record is from RNAcentral. Lineage: Eukaryota; Viridiplantae; Streptophyta; Magnoliopsida; Malpighiales; Euphorbiaceae.
UUGGUUUUCAAAAUGGAACAAACCAAAUAAACAGAACCACCCACAACCCCCUCAAGCCGUCUUCAAUUAUCGAUAUAGUGACAAUAGCUGUACUGGUGGUACUACCAUGGAAAAAAUUGUAGAGAAAUUGAAGAAACAUGGGUACAUAGAUGGUGAUGCUGAGGAAAAGAAAGAGAAAAGCCAGAGAGAAUGAUAGAAAAAGGGAGUUUAGAGGAUAUAUUCUAUGUGGAAGGAGAAAUCUUGCCAAAUUCACGAGGUGGGUAUUCCAGCAAAUCGCCGUUAGGAGUAGAGGAUCUGUCUAACAUUAAUGGAGAGGUGAGGUUUCCGUGGGAGAAA